RNAcentral lists this ribosomal RNA (392 nucleotides) under uncultured bacterium. RNAcentral describes it as "bacterial SSU rRNA". It matches the Rfam family "Bacterial small subunit ribosomal RNA", at positions 28 to 419 of the family's 1533-position model. The record is from RNAcentral.
GACGAACGCUGGCGGCGUGCUUAACACAUGCAAGUCGAGCGGUAAGGCCCUUUCGGGGGUACGACGAGCGGCGAACGGGUGAGUAACACGUGGGUGACCUGCCCUCCAGCUCUGGGAUAAGCCUGGGAAACCGGGUCUAAUACCGGAUAUGACUCCAUGACGCAUGUUGUGGGGUGGAAAGCCUUGUGCGGCUGAGGAUGGGCCCGCGGCCUAUCAGCUUGUUGGUGGGGUGAUGGCCUACCAAGGCGACGACGGGUAGCCGGCCUGAGAGGGCGACCGGCCACACUGGGACUGAGACACGGCCCAGACUCCUACGGGAGGCAGCAGUGGGGAAUCUUGCGCAAUGGGCGAAAGCCUGACGCAGCGACGCCGCGUGAGGGAUGACGGCCUGU